RNAcentral lists this ribosomal RNA (176 nucleotides) under uncultured bacterium. RNAcentral describes it as "partial 16S ribosomal RNA". It matches the Rfam family "Bacterial small subunit ribosomal RNA", at positions 356 to 525 of the family's 1533-position model. The record is from RNAcentral.
UGGGGAUUUCGGCAUGGGCGCAAGCCUGAUCCAGCCAUGCCGCGUGCAGGAUGAAGGCCUUCGGGUUGUAAACUGCUUUUGUACGGAACGAAACGGCCUUUUCUAAUAAAGAGGGCUAAUGACGGGUACCGUAAGAAUAAGCACCGGCUAACUACGUGCCAGCAGCCGCGGUAAUA